AUUGUAUAAAAUUUUAACAGUGAAGCACAACAAGCACAAGAUUGCGAAGCGUGCCGCCGUUCAGGUAGAAACCAUGAAAGAUUACAUCAAAUUUCUGUUGCGCGGCAACAAAACAAAAGACGACGACACCAACACCGACCCGUACAGGACUGGCAACAUCACUUUAGGCGUGGUGAUGGAAAAAAAACUUUAUCGGAAAUCUCCAGCAGACGUUCACGAACAUCUUUGAUGUCGCCAGCAUGCCAUCCAGUCCUGAAAUAGAUUAUCUCCGCCUACAGAAAUUCAACGUUACUUAUCUCAAUCCGACAGAUAAAUUGUCAUCAAAUAUCAACGCUGUCCUAUCUAUUUUGCCCUGCGACGUUCUUACCCGUUUCGACAAGAAUCUCGCCAGCCUCCCGAUCCUCCACAUCGCCAUUACAAGCGAUAAUUGUCCUCGAAUCACUCGUUGGGCCGUUUUGAUGGUACCGGUG
Molecule: long non-coding RNA, 470 nt
Organism: Daphnia pulicaria
Lineage: Eukaryota; Metazoa; Arthropoda; Branchiopoda; Diplostraca; Daphniidae
Exons: 4
Source: RefSeq, a predicted model, not a curated record